Molecule: ribosomal RNA, 383 nt
Filed under: uncultured eukaryote
Lineage: Eukaryota
Description: partial 18S ribosomal RNA
Rfam family: Eukaryotic small subunit ribosomal RNA
Source: RNAcentral
CAAUAGCGUAUAUUAAAGUUGUUGCAGUUAAAAAGCUCGUAGUUGGAUUUCUGGUGGGAGCGAUCGGUCUGGCGCUUAGCGCGAGUACUUGCAUCGUCUCCGGCCAUCCUUGGGGAGAGUCUGUCUGGCAUUAGGUUGUCGGGCAGAGGAUCGUCAUCGUUUACUGUGAAAAAAUUAGAGUGUUCAAAGCAGGCUUAUGCCGUUGAAUAUAUUAGCAUGGAAUAAUAAGAUAGGACUUUGGUACUAUUUUGUUGGUUUGCGCACCAAAGUAAUGAUUAAUAGGGACAGUUGGGGGUAUUCGUAUUCCGUUGUCAGAGGUGAAAUUCUUGGAUUUACGGAAGACGAACUACUGCGAAAGCAUUUACCAAGGAUGUUUUCAUUAA